CAAAGGGCUGGCUUCUCAGUGUGCCAAUGCUGGGCAAGAUGCUUCCCCCACUGCAGGUCCUGAGGCUGUCCGUGACACUGUGAUCCACUCAGAAGAGUUGCUGCAACCCUACCCUUCUGCUCCCAGUUCUGGCCCUGCCGUCACGAACGUAAUUUGUUUCUGAGUGUGAAGAUCCGCAAGUCGAACAGAAGUUGAGUUUCCAUUAUUUUGUAUGACUCUGCUAGGGCAAGCAAGGGAGAGAGGAGAGUUGAAGGUGUGCCUUGGAGCACCGCAGGUGACAUCUGAUGCCCCCAGUGAAGAAAAGCCAACAGCAGCAAAGCCUGAUGGAGAGCAUGCAGCCCGGGAAGCCCAGUGACUGGGAGCUGGAGGGCAGGAAGCACGAGCGGCCCGAGAGCCUUCUGGCACCGACGCAGUUCUGCGCGGCCGAGCAGGACGUGAAGGCGCUGGCCGGGCCCCUGCAGGCCAUUCCGGAGAUGGACUUCGAGCCCUCUCCGGCGGAGCCGCUGGG
RNAcentral lists this small RNA (508 nucleotides) under Pongo abelii (Sumatran orangutan). RNAcentral's name for it is "processed transcript". Lineage: Eukaryota; Metazoa; Chordata; Mammalia; Primates; Hominidae. The record is from RNAcentral.